AUUUAAGUAGUUUAUCUAGAAUAAUAAUUUGUGGUGUUAUAGGAAUAAAUUUUUAUCUUAAAUU
This 64-nucleotide transfer RNA is filed under the name Isometopus sp. Its description in RNAcentral is "tRNA-His". The record is from RNAcentral. Lineage: Eukaryota; Metazoa; Arthropoda; Insecta; Hemiptera; Miridae.